This 788-nucleotide ribosomal RNA is filed under the name Arthrobacter sp. OF418. RNAcentral describes it as "bacterial SSU rRNA". It matches the Rfam family "Bacterial small subunit ribosomal RNA", at positions 542 to 1327 of the family's 1533-position model. Lineage: Bacteria; Bacillati; Actinomycetota; Actinomycetes; Micrococcales; Micrococcaceae. The record is from RNAcentral.
CGUAUCGGAUUAUUGGGCGUAAGAGCUCGUAGGCGGUUUGUCGCGUCUGCCGUGAAAGUCCGGGGCUCAACUCCGGAUCUGCGGUGGGUACGGGCAGACUAGAGUGAUGUAGGGGAGACUGGAAUUCCUGGUGUAGCGGUGAAAUGCGCAGAUAUCAGGAGGAACACCGAUGGCGAAGGCAGGUCUCUGGGCAUUAACUGACGCUGAGGAGCGAAAGCAUGGGGAGCGAACAGGAUUAGAUACCCUGGUAGUCCAUGCCGUAAACGUUGGGCACUAGGUGUGGGGGACAUUCCACGUUUUCCGCGCCGUAGCUAACGCAUUAAGUGCCCCGCCUGGGGAGUACGGCCGCAAGGCUAAAACUCAAAGGAAUUGACGGGGGCCCGCACAAGCGGCGGAGCAUGCGGAUUAAUUCGAUGCAACGCGAAGAACCUUACCAAGGCUUGACAUGGACCGGACCGCCGCAGAAAUGUGGUUUCCCCUUUGGGGCCGGUUCACAGGUGGUGCAUGGUUGUCGUCAGCUCGUGUCGUGAGAUGUUGGGUUAAGUCCCGCAACGAGCGCAACCCUCGUUCCAUGUUGCCAGCGCGUAAUGGCGGGGACUCAUGGGAGACUGCCGGGGUCAACUCGGAGGAAGGUGGGGACGACGUCAAAUCAUCAUGCCCCUUAUGUCUUGGGCUUCACGCAUGCUACAAUGGCCGGUACAAAGGGUUGCGAUACUGUGAGGUGGAGCUAAUCCCAAAAAAGCCGGUCUCAGUUCGGAUUGGGGUCUGCAACUCGACCCCAUGAAGUC